GCGCCUGUAGCUCAGUUGGAUAGAGCAUCGGCCUUCUAAGCCGAAUGUCGUAGGUUCGAGUCCUACCAGGCGCG
Molecule: transfer RNA, 74 nt
Filed under: Longimicrobiales bacterium
Lineage: Bacteria; Pseudomonadati; Gemmatimonadota; Longimicrobiia; Longimicrobiales
Also listed under: 1 other name
Description: tRNA-Arg
Rfam family: tRNA
About the family: Transfer RNA (tRNA) molecules are approximately 80 nucleotides in length. Their secondary structure includes four short double-helical elements and three loops (D, anti-codon, and T loops).
Source: RNAcentral